Molecule: long non-coding RNA, 392 nt
Organism: Sinocyclocheilus anshuiensis
Lineage: Eukaryota; Metazoa; Chordata; Actinopteri; Cypriniformes; Cyprinidae
Exons: 3
Source: RefSeq, a predicted model, not a curated record
UCUCUCUAUCGUGCACGGAUGCCUGAGGAGCGCGGGGUUCGCUGACGCUCCGGGGAACAGAAACAAAGAAAAUAAUCUUCUAGAUGAGUUUUAUCGAUGGAUUGAUGGUAAAGAAAAGGAUUUAAAGGGGACGUGCUGUACCUGCACCAUUCUGGAAUUUUCUGAGUUUAACGAUCUCCUUGGUCAAGUUUUUUUUUUCCUUGUUGUUCUGUCCUUUUCCAAAUUCGAUUGCUGUCUGUCUGAUGUGACGAGAUGUUCCGGUACCUGCAUUCUGGAUUUGUCCCGGCCUUCCGGUGGUUCUGAGGAGGGUUUGGACUGGCGAGCCUCCCUUGAGUCUGUUCUUGGAUUUUCUGUGGAAACAAAAGACAAGUUUUUCUGACCCUGUGAAUGGU